Molecule: ribosomal RNA, 119 nt
Filed under: Carlito syrichta (Philippine tarsier)
Lineage: Eukaryota; Metazoa; Chordata; Mammalia; Primates; Tarsiidae
Source: RNAcentral
GUCUAUGGCCAUAUCACCCUGACUACGUCCAAUCUUGUCUGAUCUCUGAAGCUAAGCAGGGCUGGGCCUGGCUAAUACUUGGGUGGGAGAAUCCAAAAGGCGCUGAGGUGUCAUUGGGA